This 406-nucleotide ribosomal RNA is filed under the name uncultured bacterium. Its description in RNAcentral is "bacterial SSU rRNA". It matches the Rfam family "Bacterial small subunit ribosomal RNA", at positions 976 to 1381 of the family's 1533-position model. The record is from RNAcentral.
UAGCCUUGACAUAUUAUAGAAUUCAGUAGAGAUACAGAAGUGCCUUCGGGAGCUAUAUUACAGGUGCUGCACGGCUGUCGUCAGCUCGUGUCGUGAGAUGUUGGGUUAAGUCCCGCAACGAGCGCAACCCUCGUCACUAGUUACUAACGGUUAGGCCGAGGACUCUAGUGAGACUGCCUUCGUAAGGAGGAGGAAGGUGAGGACGACGUCAAGUCAUCAUGGCCCUUACGGCUAGGGCAACACACGUGCUACAAUGGUUAGGACAAUGAGAAGCAAUAUCGCGAGGUGGAGCAAAUCUAUAAACCUAAUCUCAGUUCGGAUUGUAGUCUGCAACUCGACUACAUGAAGCUGGAAUCACUAGUAAUCGUAGAUCAGCUAUGCUACGGUGAAUACGUUACCCGGGUCU